RNA transcript from Sceloporus undulatus (fence lizard), 3509 nucleotides. It is a transcript of the gene named PIH1 domain containing 1, with no coding region annotated. NCBI's taxonomy places the organism in Eukaryota, Metazoa, Chordata, Lepidosauria, Squamata, Phrynosomatidae. The record is from RefSeq and is a predicted model, not a curated record. The transcript has 12 exons.
UGGGGAUCAUAGAGAUAGGAAGGCUUUCCUAGAGCGGCUGAGAGAUCCCAACUUCCGGUCCCGUUUCCCUGUAAACUAAAGAGGAGCAAAAGAGAAGAAGGAUAACGACGUCUUUAAAGCAUCGCAGAGAGAAACCAGGGUUGCACCAGCAGCACCAGCAUGGCGUCCAUAUCAGACAAGUCCCUGUUAUCAGCUGAGCUUCAGGAGGAGGAAGAGGAGGAGUUCCAGCGUCUUUUGCUCCAGGCAACCCAGAAAAUCCAGAGCUCACUGCCUUCUCAGGCAGAGUCCAAGCCCAUUCGUCCACUCCCAGGAUUCUGUCUUAAAACCCGCACAGUUUCUGGUGAUAAAGUAUUCGUCAAUGUCUGCAAGUCCCCUCACAUUCCUCCACCUCCUGAUCUGAGCAAUGAAGAACUGACCUGCCUCAUUGAAUCUGAAGCUGCUUCCAACUUCCGCAUCCCCAUGAGCCUGGGAGAGCCUCAUGCAGAAGUGGACAAAAGUGGUAAUGGCUGCACUGCUUACGAUGUCAGCAUCAGCACCAGCUUUUUCAACAAGAUGGAGGGCAACCAAUUCCUCAAAGAGUUUUUCAUCACUGUCGCAUUAGAAGGACUGUCUGAGAAAUACAAGAUGGAUCUCAGCUACCAAGAAUGGCUAAUUCUGAAGAACAGAAAGUUUAUGGGCUCCAUAUCAGAGCAGACCAUCCGCACCAAAUCCAAACCUGUCAUCCAGGAAGUGGACAGCAGUGAGGUCAAGGAGAAAACUAGUAACUUAUGGCAAUCUUCUGUGUCUGAAAGUUCUGCCACUGUUCCUGAAUACACGAUAGUUGCUGAGCCCUCUGUCAAUCACCCUGACCAUCUAGUAGCGAAAAUCUGCCUCCCUAAAAUGACCUCAGUGAGAUCCCUUGACCUGGACUUGGGUGAAGAUCGAAUUGUGUUAGAGGGACAUCCCAGACUCUAUCAUUUGGACAUCUUCAUUCCCUACAGCAUUGUUCCUGAAGAAAGUAGGGCUCAGUUCCACAGAGAGACCAAGAUCCUCACUGUCAUAAUGCCUGUCCAACGCCCAUUACUGUUACCAUGAGCUGCAAGGAGAAAAGCUGGAAGACACAGUGUUUUGUCAGUCCUGGGACUUAGAUCCCACAGCCUCAUGUGGGAUAAGCAGAAGAGCAGAGAUUCAGGAAGGAUGUGGAGGAUGGAACUGAUUAUCAGAACAAUGGUGUUCGGCUUGUGAGGAAAUAGACAAAAGACACUAUAUUUCCAUUGAUGGAUGAGACUUCUCCUGCUGAGUCCACAACUUACCAAUUUUGCAUGGAGAGUUGCAGAAGGGCCAUUCCAUUGGGCAGAAUGAAGAGACUGCCUCAGGAAGAAGAUGAUGGAGGAGCACGAGCCACAGUUGCCCCCUCGGUUUCUCUCUUGUGGUGGUGACCUGUCUUAGGCAAACCAGUGGAAUUUUCUGCCUUCAGGUCCAGUGAUAGUUAAGAGAAAUGCUGGCUGGAUUAUUCUGAGUGAUGUUUUCUCUAAUCCCAGUUUUCCUAACUUUUGGACUGCAAAAUCCAGAAUAGGAAGACCGAGCAAGAUAUGACUAUGCUGGAACCAUUUCCUUGAAGUGCUGAUACUCCUGGCUAUGAUUCAUGUUUCUCGUUUCCAGAAGAAGAGCCUGGAUAAUAGCCCUGUCAUCCUCGCUCCAUGCAGAUGGGAUCAGCACAUGUGAACUUCCAAAUAUUGUUGGACUGCAGUUCCCAUCCUCCCUCACCAUUGACUAGCCUGGCUAACCUUCUGCUCACUCCUUGCCAUAUGGAAUGCCAACUACAUUUGGCACAUUCUCCAUCAAAGAGCCUCACUGGUGGGGACUGGUAGAAACCACUUGUUCCUCCCCUCCCACCUUAUACUUAGAGACCCACCCCACCAGAUGCUCUUUCUCUUGCCUUGCUCUUUCUCACUAAAUCCCCUUCUCGGAGAGAUUGAGCGGCGGCAUAAACCGAUCAAUCCAAUUCCUUUAAAUGGAGAACCUACUAUUCCAGCCCUUUGCUCUUUCCAAAGAUCCCAGGAUUCCUUGCCAAGUGGCAAUUAGCAGAUCGUUCUCAGCAGGGGAAAAGAAAACUCCCCGCAGUGUAAAAUGUGUGGCUCUGUGUGCCUGCAUGUGUGUGUGAGAGAGAAUAAGAUGCAAAUAUAUUCAGAGUAGUUGUGGUGUCAGCAGAGGACAGAAUGAGGGGGGAGCAGGUUCCCUGAUAUUAUUCCAGCACUAAAUCAUCAACCUCCUGCCUUCCCUAUUUGCUGUUUCGUGUGGAUCAGUGUGUCAUGCAUGAGAAGAAUAUUACUUUGCCAGAAACCCAUGCCCAUUGGUGGUUUGUCAUCUGUGCACAAGAAUUCUUCAUGUCCCUGCAAUGGAGACAUAGGACAGAUACUGGUUUAAAAGCAAGAGAUCCCAGACCCUUUAGAAAAUCAGGAAAUUGUCUCACUCCAUGGUUAGGCAACCAUUAGGGGAACAUACACUGCCUUCCAGAUUGUGGAACUCCUUGAAAGUUGCACCAUUUUAUUUUUCUAAAUUGUUUAGUUUUUUUAAAUUGAGUUUAUUCUAAAUCAGGACUACAGUUGGCUUUUCAUAUCCACAGAUUCUGCAUCCAAGGGUUCAACCACCCACCGCUUGAAAAUAUUUUUAAAAUCAUAAUUAUUCAAAACGCAAACCUUGAUUUUGCCAUUUUAUGUAAGGGACAUCAUUUUACUACUUGAUUGUAUAUAUUGUUACUUGAGAUCCACUGAUUUUGAUAUCCACUGGGUCCUAGAACCAAAUCCCAAUGGACACCAAGGAUCCACUGUAUUUGUCCAUCCACAGUUUGGAAAAAAUUAUUUUGGGGCCCACAAAUCCCAGAUUUUUCCAGUCAGCAUGGCUGGGAUUAUAACUGCAGCCACUCACUCACAAACCACAAGGUUGUGAGUUCAAUACCACCCAGGAACCCUGGGUCAAUUCAGCCUGGCAUCCUUCCAUAUGUCACUAAAAUGAGUACCCAGCUUGUUGGGGGCAAUUAGCUUACACGUUGUAAACUGCUUAGUAUAUCAGUAAGCAGUAUAUAAAUGUACUUGUUACUACCUUCAAUCGGGAAAGAAAGGUAAUUGACAGUGAGUGGAAGUGACAGCACUCUAAACCACCAAAUAUUUUCAUAAAGAGUGCAGAAGAAUCUCCUAAAAGGUAGGGCCACUUAAAAAAAAUCAGUGCUGAACAUAUCUGCAAUUGGGGGAAAAACCUGUGAGGGAUAUUUCCAGACACAGUUGAAAAUAUGUAUAAAAAUACAGAUACAUAACAUACACAUUUCAAAACUAGAUGUGCAAUAUGUUUUUUACAGCACUGAAAAGGUGAGCUGUUAUCAAAUGAAAGUUAGGGUUGCAAAAUAAUAAUAAAAAGGCUGUUUAAAUAUUCUCAGCUCAUAGACAUCAUUCCACCUCCUUGUCCUCAAGAGGACAGCAGGAUAUUUUCCCUCUUUGUUCAAGUGCAUCACGGUUUGUACUUCAUCCAGUCUG